GACGAACGCUGGCGGCGUGCUUAACACAUGCAAGUCGAACGGUGAAGCGAGUGCUUGCACUCGUGGAUCAGUGGCGAACGGGUGAGUAACACGUGAGUAACCUGCCCAUCACUCUGGGAUAAGCACUGGAAACGGUGUCUAAUACUGGAUACGACCAACCCUUGCAUGGGGUGUUGGUGGAAAGAUUUAUCGGUGAUGGAUGGACUCGCGGCCUAUCAGCUUGUUGGCGGGGUAAUGGCCCACCAAGGCGACGACGGGUAGCCGGCCUGAGAGGGUGACCGGCCACACUGGGACUGAGACACGGCCCAGACUCCUACGGGAAGCAGCAGUGGGGAAUAUUGCACAAUGGGCGAAAGCCUGAUGCAGCGACGCCGCGUGAGGGAUGACGGCCUUCGGGUUGUAAACCUCUUUCAGCAGGGAAGAAGCGAAAGUGACGGUACCUGCAGAAGAAGCACCGGCUAACUACGUG
Molecule: ribosomal RNA, 469 nt
Filed under: uncultured bacterium
Lineage: Bacteria
Description: partial 16S ribosomal RNA
Rfam family: Bacterial small subunit ribosomal RNA
Source: RNAcentral